Micropterus salmoides (largemouth bass) is the source of this 1691-nucleotide long non-coding RNA. RefSeq lists it as uncharacterized. Lineage: Eukaryota; Metazoa; Chordata; Actinopteri; Centrarchiformes; Centrarchidae. The record is from RefSeq and is a predicted model, not a curated record. The transcript has 2 exons.
AAUUGAAUUGAAAAUUGAAUUGAAUUAUAAUGAGGAGAUAUUUUGCGUUCUCCCCACAGAAAUCACCCACUUUCAAGCCCAGGAAAAUGUGUUACUACAUGGAGACAUCUCACUAAUCAUCACUCACAGAAUUGUCUCGGGUUACGUAUGUUCUCCAUGCUAAGCACAUCUAGCUCCUCAGAGCCAGAUCGUGCAAGCCUCUCCGGACUCAUACCUUGAGUGGGAGAAGCUGAGAAACGGGCUCCCGAUCGGGGACGUGGGGAGGAGGAUUCCGUGGACGAGGACCGGAAAAAGGCCUCAGACGUCCCGGCACCCUCGGCGAUCUUGCGUUGUGAUCCCCAGGAUCGGAGCCGCUGCGACGCCUCAGCAACUGCGGGGCCUGAGCCACGGGGGGAGCGCAUCUGACCAUCCUCUAGGAAGAGAGCCACUCGAGACCUCAGCAUCCUCAGGGGCAGGGCCUCGCAAUGGUCGCAGGCAGCCCGCUCGAGAGCUGCCUGGGCGUGCGACAUCCCCAGGCAUGAGACACACAUUCCAUGGGUUCAGGUCACAUCUGACAAGUUGCUCCUGUCAAAGCUUUUGUGCUGUUUGAAUGUCGGAGAAGAAUUCUCUGCCCUGACUGAAGCGAGGCCUCCCGCUGUCCACACAGCUACUCAGCAUGUUAUGAUGGACUGAUCUAUCUCUCUCUCUCUGUCUUCUUCCUCCCAUUGUAACACUGUACAGCGCUCAGCAGAGACAUGAAAUAUACAGUAGGUAUGGACUAUAUUGGUGUUUUUGUAUGUUUAACAAUAUCCAGAUGUGGAGUCUAUAAUAAUGCUCAUUUCAUUCUUCACUUAAAGACUUGUGGGCUUUUAAACAUAGGACUUCCACUCAUAUCUGACAGAGAACUCUUGUGACCACACCCAGCAGUGAUGCAUUACUGGCACACUUUAAACAUCACUGCAGCAAGAUGAGAAGGUCAAAAAAAAUCUUGAGUUCAAAACAAGAGUUUCAGCUCCUGUUGAAGGAAAAGGGCAGCUUUACAACAAAACCAACAAUGUGUUAGUCCAUCAUUUUGUAGAGGCUCAGUCAUUCCAUAAAACAGUUGGUCAAUGUACUGUGCAAUACAUUGCACUGUUGGAUACAGUCAUUGUUGUUUGGGUCUGCCCGUGGUGUCUGCUGACGAGAAGAAAAAUGUCAAAAUGUCACCAGCUGUAUGUAUGUAAGUUACUGUCAGCAUAAAGCUGCAAUGCUUGCAGAAUAUUUGACGCCUGGUCCACAGAGGGGUAUUUCGUAUCAAAACUUUGCACCCCAAUUCUUCCUCCCUCAGUACAUUUUCUCAUCAAUUUUGUAAUUGACAGAACACAGAAUUCUGCUGCCUAUUUCAUGUAGUCAGUAUGACAGCAACAGAGCAAAGUAUAAACAAGACAAUCAACAAUAAAUAAAUGCAAUCUUUGUCCACUCUGAAGCUGAGCUAUUCAUCUUUCCCUGAGAUUGUUUUAUAACAAUGCACCUUGAUCAUUCUCCUGGAAAAGAGCAGCUUUGUCCUUGCAGAAAGAGAAGCAGUCACAAUAAACUCACAGUAACAAACCAGUUGUCCACCUCCAAUAGAACUGUUAUGUCUAUUGCUUUAUGUCCUGAUGUGAAAUGUGUGCAACUGUGACACAAGAAUUUCUCCCCGGGAAUCAAUAAAGUAUAAAGAUUUCUGAUUCUGA